Non-coding RNA from Yokenella regensburgei ATCC 43003, 69 nucleotides. The record is from Rfam. Lineage: Bacteria; Pseudomonadati; Pseudomonadota; Gammaproteobacteria; Enterobacterales; Enterobacteriaceae.
ACAGUGCCACGGCCGUCUGAGCUAAGGUUCUGAGAAACUUCAAAAGGCGCAGAAAUCUGCGCCUUUUUU